RNAcentral lists this long non-coding RNA (201 nucleotides) under Mytilus galloprovincialis (Mediterranean mussel). Lineage: Eukaryota; Metazoa; Mollusca; Bivalvia; Mytilida; Mytilidae. The record is from RNAcentral.
AAAUUUAUGAUUAUCGUCGUGUUUACCUUUAUAAGAAUGAUUUUGCGUGGAUCGAAUCAGUUAAUCAAAUUAUUUACCUUUGUUUCACUUUCAAUGUUGAGAUUCUUUUCCUGUAAAUACCCGUACACGGACAAUGCAUGCGUUAUUCUAUCACUUUCUACGGGGUUAAAUUGGAGUUCACAUGAAUAUGGAUUUAAUGAG